CAGGGCCAUUUUUAAUUAGUUUGGUGAUUCUAGGGAUUAAAUUCCCCGCCUUUGCACAUCCUGGACAAGUACUAAUAUUGUGUUCUAUUUCCAGGGUCUCACUAAUUAACCCAGGCUGUCAUUAACACAUUUUGUAGCCUAGACAUGGGCUUGGACCAAGAAGCCCAGCUCACAGUUCAAUUUUUAUUUAAUUUGUUCCAGGAUUUUGAACACAAACAAAUGAAAGGUCAUUUAAGGGUUGAUAGUCCUUGGGGAGGCACCUUUCCCAGACCAUACAACAGACUUAUUUUCACUUAGUUCUGAGGUGAAGACAGAUCAUGGGACUGAUAAAUUGGUAAGUAUAAAAGAUAGAAAAGGGGGGAAGAAAUAAGGUAGGUCUUAACAGGUCAAGUAACUGCAGCCAGCUUAGACACAAAGUUCAGAGUAGUGGUUGGAAUCAGGGUACCAUAGGUGUAACAUGCUCAUACAGUUUUGAUGAGAUAACCUUUCUGGACCAAGCAGGGCGUGGGAGGGUAGGGUGUGGCAUUUUCAGUAACACAUU
RNAcentral lists this long non-coding RNA (541 nucleotides) under Cricetulus griseus (Chinese hamster). RNAcentral's name for it is "lncRNA (ENSCGRG00000026635.1)". The record is from RNAcentral. Lineage: Eukaryota; Metazoa; Chordata; Mammalia; Rodentia; Cricetidae.